GGCGUGCGGUGGGUGCGGGUGCCCACCCUGGGCGCUACUUCCCGCAUUUGGACCCAGGUCCACUGGUGGGCAGUAGCAACAGCAAUCGCCACCAGGCCAGCGGGGCUUCUUCUGUCUGUCCAGUUAUUUUUAGGCCCAGUGGAUUUCUCUUCAGAGCAAGGCAAGGAAUAUAUGUGGAAAUUGAGGCAAGAAAAGGAACUCCCUGAAUGUGCUCUCAUCUUGAACAGUCGCACCGACCACUCUAGGGAGCUUCUUGGAUAUGUUAAAAAUGGACCCACUUGGGAUAUAUUCACUAUCAGGGGCUGAAUAUUAAGGAGCUGAUUCCGAGAGUAUCCUCUAAUAAAAGCCAUGUUUGCUAACCACCUCAGAGUUUAUAUCCUUGAGGAUUUCACCCUGCAACAUGAGUUCAACAGCUAAGUGCUCAGGGAGCUUCCCGUGGUCUCAAGCAACCCAGUUCUUAGGAAACAGUUUCUAAUAGGACUCCUGCAAGGCAGCCAUGAUGCCUGAUCCCCCCCCCCCCCCCAGGGCAUACCUCCCCCAACCCCUUUCCUCAGCCCAGCUAGUAUUAGAGACUGGCCAGCAGAACUAGUUCCGGACUCCACGCAUUGGUAGAGAUGUGGGUUACUCCGUGGCUUGGGUAGGAUCAACUAAGGAAUUUCUCAGGGAAAUGAGAUGAGCUGUUGUGGCUGAUGUUUGGGCUGGGAAUACAGAGCUUGAAAAUGAAAUUCCUUGGUGUUUUUGGUCCAAGGCAGUUUCUCCUCCCCCCCUUUUUUUCAUUUUUUGCCCCUUAAGGAGCCUCUUUAGAUGUUUUUUCCCCCCUAGUCACCACCCCAUGAUUUUUUUUUAAAGGACGAAAGUGUUUUUUAACAACUUCAUUGUGAUAUGAUUCACAUACUGUACAAUUAGCCAUUUAAAGUAUACAAAUCAAUGGCUUUUAGAAUAUUCAGAGUUGUGUAACCAUCACUUCAAUCAAUAUUAGAGCAUUUUAUCAACCCCAACAUAAACCCUGUGCCCAUUAGUUGAUACCCCCAGCCCUCCGCCCUCAUUUCCCCCAGUCCUAGACAAUCACUAAUGUACUUUCUAAUUCUAUAGAUCUGCCUUUCUGGGCACUUCAUAUAAAGGGAAUCAUAGAACAUGUGGGGUCUAUGAAAUUUUAACAGGGCUGAUACACUAUAUGCUUGUUUAUGGACUGCAUGUAUAUCUGUGCUUUAUAUCUAAAGAGAGCAAGACUUUUUUAUACCCCCACCAGUUUCCAUUGUCCACACUGAGAAGGCGUGAGCCGAGGUGACAGUGUCUCCACAGAAUUUUCCUAACCAGCUGCAGACACCAAAACUGUGAGUCAUUUGUUGACAAUACACGAUUAUCAAAAUGAGGUCUUCGUGUAAUUGGUCUACUUACUACCACCACCUCCAGAAACUGGCUACAAGUGAACUCUUCAUGAGCCUAAUAGAAGUGAAUUCAGUUUUCCUGACUAAGCCCAAAUACUACUUUAUAAAUGGAAACAUCUGAUCCUAAAUUGUAGCAACCUGAGACUUGUCUUUUACCUCCCUCUGCCUCUGAAUGGACCUACAGAAGUUUCAGGUGUCCUGCCUGCUUUUACAGCAGAGCACCUGAAGAUGUCACCAGAGUGAUGGGAUCUGGCAGUCAAAACUCCCAGACUCCGUAAACAGUUUGGGAUAACAUAAUGAAUUUGAAAGAAAAGGAUGGCAGUCUAUUAAGUGUUUUAAAUCCCUUUGAA
Zalophus californianus (California sea lion) is the source of this 1738-nucleotide long non-coding RNA. RefSeq lists it as uncharacterized. Lineage: Eukaryota; Metazoa; Chordata; Mammalia; Carnivora; Otariidae. The record is from RefSeq and is a predicted model, not a curated record. The transcript has 3 exons.